This 497-nucleotide ribosomal RNA is filed under the name uncultured bacterium. Its description in RNAcentral is "partial 16S ribosomal RNA". It matches the Rfam family "Bacterial small subunit ribosomal RNA", at positions 28 to 507 of the family's 1533-position model. The record is from RNAcentral.
GAUGAACGCUGGCGGCGUGCCUAAUACAUGCAAGUCGAGCGAACAGACGAGGAGCUUGCUCCUCUGACGUUAGCGGCGGACGGGUGAGUAACACGUGGAUAACCCACCUAUAAGACUGGGAUAACCUCGGGAAACCGGAGCUAAUACCGGAUAAUAUAUUGAACCGCAUGGUUCAAUAGUGAAAGACGGUUUUGCUGUCACUUAUAGAUGGAUCCGCGCCGCAUUAGCUAGUUGGUAAGGUAACGGCUUACCAAGGCAACGAUGCGUAGCCGACCUGUGGGGGUGGUCGGCCACACUGGAACUUAGCCACGGUCCAGACUCCUACGGGAGGCAGCAGUAGGGAAUCGUCCGCAAUGGGCGGAAGCCUGACGGAGCAACGCCGCGUGAGUGAUGAAGGUCUUCGGAUCGUAAAACUCUGUUAUUAGGGAAGAACAAAUGUGUAAGGAACUAUGCACGUCUUGACGGUACCUAAUCAGAAAGCCACGGCUAACUACGUG